AUGGUAUUAUACAUGUUUCAAUGCCAUUCUCCCAAAUCAUCCCACCCUCUCCCUCUCCCACAGAGUCCAAAAGACUGUUCUAUAUACAUCUGUGUCUCUUUUGCUCUCUCACGUACAGGGUUAUCUUUAAAAGAAUCUAACUCUGGUUGUUGGGAAGAAGCUGUGACCCAAAAGGAACGCUUACUAUUAAUACUAUCUGUUGUCUUCGUGCAGGCAAACUUCUACCACGUGCAAACAGUUUUAGAAGAAUGUACAGAUUCCUCAGAUGUUGCUUUAGCCUGUUUGCCUCCCCUGCAAUUUUCACAUAGCCCUUUGGAUUGAUGAGUCAUUGUGGACGUCUUGCCUAAGCUUCUAGCUCAGCAACUUUCUAGGAGGUUUUCUUCAGGAUCCCAUCUGAUGUCCCACUGGACUCUCAGGAAGAAGCCCUCCCCAAAAUCGAUCCUCAACCUCCUGUCAGUUACUCUGAAAAGAGGACCACCUUCCACUCUUCAAGCUCUCCUCCCAUCAUUCUUCAUGGCCAACUCAUGCACAACCAAGACUGAUAUUCAGUUGAUUUGCAGAUGAAACUAGGAAAGUUCAAGAUAACCCUGGGCAAAGCACUGCUGUGGUUACUUUUACCAUGAAGGACAUUUUCACAGGACGACUAAUAAUUAAAGAGCACCAGGAAGAGCAAAAUACGAAAGAAAAGAUCUAUGUGCUCCUUCCUGGGAAAACUGAAGUAUAAGCAUUGCUUAAGGCACUUAUAUAAAUAUCUUAAAUUUGUACAACUGAAGAAUUCCAAGCCUCUGGAAGAAAAAGGUAGAGAAACAAUAACUGGACUGGAGUUGCUAAUAAAUGUGCUGUAGGUGAGCUCUUUGAAGAAAUU
This is a long non-coding RNA of Bos indicus x Bos taurus (hybrid cattle), 865 nucleotides long. The record is from Ensembl. Lineage: Eukaryota; Metazoa; Chordata; Mammalia; Artiodactyla; Bovidae.